This is a long non-coding RNA of Hydra vulgaris (swiftwater hydra), 1870 nucleotides long. RefSeq lists it as uncharacterized. Lineage: Eukaryota; Metazoa; Cnidaria; Hydrozoa; Anthoathecata; Hydridae. The record is from RefSeq and is a predicted model, not a curated record.
AAAAAAAAGAUUAGACUGUUCACAAAAAUGUUUAGACGUUUAAUUUAUAAUCAUAUUUCAAGUUAAUAAAAUUCUCCUCACUUUAACAUUAGACCUAAUACAAAUUUACAGCGAAAGCCAAUUAUUUUUAUUAGAGUCUAGAAUAACAAAAAAAGCACAUAACAAAUUGUAUAAGCCAGGGGUUGGCAACAUUUUGAGACGGAAGAGCUGAAAGUUCACAAUUUUGAAUUUGUUAUUUAGGUGCCCCAAGAUGACCUAACGGUCUUGUCAUAGAGCACCGCGAAAGUGCAUUUAACCAGGAAGUUCACGCCUCCUUCCUUACCGUGACGCAAAAUAGGUCCAAAGCUCGUUUCAAACCUGGAUCUCCUGCUUAUAAAACAAGCGCUCUAGUCACUGGGCCACAGCUGUACAAAUAUUUAAGGACGCAGAGUCCCGAUAAACCUCUGGAUUUGAAUGUCUCGAAAAGAUUACUUCUUCCUAGUUUUUGGUAUUCAGGAGCUCCAAUAAUAUAAAAACGCUUAUAGACUACUAUUGGUAAAAAAGUUAAGACUUUUAUGUUAGAGAAACAAUAUCUGUAGGUCGAAAUAAACUUAUUGUGCAAAAAUAAACGAAAUUACAUCAUAUUUAGAGGCCCCCCGACUAUGACAACUUUCUCUACUACAGACCAUGAAAACUCAUUUCCCACCCAUUACUUGUUUAUUAAAAUAUACUUACUACGGCUCUAUUUGCGUGAAUAAAUAAUAGUUGUUCUUUGUUGGCCAUAUUUGUUUUUAGAUGUUUUUAGAUAAAUAAAUGUUGUCUGCAAGUUUCUGAAAGUUUAGACUAAUCAAAAAGCAAGUUAAAAGCCUGCCAAUACAAGAUUUGGAGUGAAGUAUAGAUGAAAAGAUGGAGGCUGAGGCGACAGAAAUAAGUCCCACUGCAACAUCUUCCAAGGACAAGCAAGUAAUGCUGCUGCAAUCUGGUUCAUCGAAUGACUCUGGAUCAACUUUUCAAGAAACAACUCUCUCGGUAUUUAAGAAGAAACGGCGGACUUACCAAUUUACCGAGUUGUUUGAUUUUGGGCUUGCUAUUUGCAAAACUGAUUCAUCUAUCACUGGCUGCCCAACUGCUUGCAUGUCUUGAGGUGCCCGAAGAUAACUUCAAAAGAGUCUUGUAACAGAGCACCGCGGAAGUGUGGUUAACCAGGAAGUUCACGCCUUCUUCCUUACCGUGACGCGAAAAUAUGUCCAAGGCUUGUUUCAAACCUGCAUUAAGAUAAAAUAACAUAAAAUAAAAACAACAUUUUACAAAAUGCAAACACCUUUGUUUAUGGGAUUCGGAGGCAGAAGAUUUGAAGGCAAUAGGUUUGGAGGCAACUGGUACACCACCAAAAACAUUGUAAAUAAUUUUAUUUAUAGACAACUAGCUGGAAGUUUAAGAAAUUUUAAAAAAAAUUUAAGCAAUAUCUUAACAAAAACUAGUAUAAAACAGAAUCAUGUUUACUUAGCUGGUGACCUUAACUUAAAUUUGUUGAAAAAUAUUUUUAAUAAAAAUGUCAGAUGCAUUUUAAAUACUCUAAUCCAGUAUAACCGAAUUCCUACAAUAAAUAAAUCAACAAGAAUUACUGACAACUCUUCAACAUUACUCAACAGUAUAGUUACUAAUAGCUUACUUAACUGCCAUAUAGGAACGGGAAAAAUAAAAACGAGUCUAACAGUUCACUUUCCAGUAUUCUUAAUUAAUGAUGACAAUUCUAAAUAAUUGUCCCACAAACUUCACUAUCUUAACUUGAUAGAUCAAUGAAAACACUUUAUUAUAUUUUUGAAUUAUUUUGAAAAAAAAAGUUGCUGUUUGUAAAUUAUUUUUAGCGAAAUUCUGUAAAGACUAUGAU